RNAcentral lists this ribosomal RNA (27 nucleotides) under Gymnosporangium yamadae. Its description in RNAcentral is "partial 18S ribosomal RNA". Lineage: Eukaryota; Fungi; Basidiomycota; Pucciniomycetes; Pucciniales; Gymnosporangiaceae. The record is from RNAcentral.
UUGGGGUGACCUGCGGAAGGAUCAUUA